CCUACGGGAGGCAGCAGUGAGGAAUAUUGGGCAAUGGAGGCAACUCUGACCCAGCCAUGCCGCGUGAGUGAAGAAGGUUUUCGGAUUGUAAAGCUCUUUCGGACGUGACGAUGAUGAAGGUAGCAUCUAAAGAAGCACCGGCUAACCUCGUUCCAGCAGCCGCGGUAAUACGACGGGGGCAAGCGUGUUUCGGAAUUACUGGGCGGAAAGGAAGUGUAGGCGGUUUAGUAAGAUAGUGGUGAAAUCCCAGAGCUUAACUUUGGAAUUGCCAUUAUAACUAGUAGACUAGAAUUACAGAGAGGAUAGUGGAAUACCCAGUGUAGAGGUGAAAUUCGUAGAUAUUGGGUAGAACACCAGUGGCGAAGGCGACUAUCUGGCUGUACAUUGACGCUGAGGCUCGAAAGCAUGGGGAUCAAACAGGAUUAGAUACCCCAGUAGUC
This 440-nucleotide ribosomal RNA is filed under the name uncultured bacterium. RNAcentral describes it as "partial 16S ribosomal RNA". It matches the Rfam family "Bacterial small subunit ribosomal RNA", at positions 338 to 795 of the family's 1533-position model. The record is from RNAcentral.